UAGUGCGCUUGCUCCUAGCCGCACACGGCAAGAAGACUCUGGGACCUCAGCCCCCGGCCUGCACUGCGCGCGCAGGGGCACUCUGGGAGUUGUAGUCCCUUCGCCUUCCCCCGGAAAGUGGGAUUCUGUUGCGGAGAGGGAGCUCCAGGCGACUAACGGAAAGGAGUGAAGGUACUGGGAUUUGAACUCAGGGCCUCACACUUGCUAGUAUUCAGCUCCAUCCUGUGUACCUGCUGCAUCUGCUGUCUUUGUUGCUGAGAACACCAAGCAUGGCUGACGAUGGAAUCACUAUCCUGAAAACAAGAUUAUGAAACAAAAGCUUAUGAACUAUUUAGUGAAAUAUUAAGACUACAUAGGCCUUCUUCCUUCACCUGGCUCAUCCACUGCAGGAGACUGGAAGGACUUCUUUUGAGAUCUCCCUGCCACGUGAUCUUGAAUCCUUGUAACCUCAUACCCAGUCUUCUACUCACCUAUCUGAAGGAAGAAACUAACAGGCUUCCCUUGACUUUUAAUUCCUUUGGCUGGCCAGAGGAAGAAACUGUGGAUCAGAGUGUACCUGGUCCCAUUGACAUCUCUGGUAGAAGCCAGAGGCCCCGAAUCGGUAUGAAGAGCUAUAUCCAUCCACUCACCAUCAGGAAGAUACCUACUACCUACCGUCACUCCAGGGACAAGCUGCAUGCUUGUGCUUGAUCACCUUGUGCUCAGUGAGGCAUCUGGGCCACAGAAGAGCUUUUGUCUGUACAGAGCUAACCUGCUGAUGAGGGCAUCCAUGACAUUGAGCUGACUUAACCUGACAUCUGACUGUCAGUCAUGACCUCCUAGCAUAAGCUCUGGGCCUAUCAGAACGGCCUCAGGAGGAUGUGGAAGAUGAGCGAUCAGGA
Castor canadensis (American beaver) is the source of this 881-nucleotide long non-coding RNA. RefSeq lists it as uncharacterized. Lineage: Eukaryota; Metazoa; Chordata; Mammalia; Rodentia; Castoridae. The record is from RefSeq and is a predicted model, not a curated record.